RNAcentral lists this ribosomal RNA (460 nucleotides) under uncultured bacterium. Its description in RNAcentral is "partial 16S ribosomal RNA". It matches the Rfam family "Bacterial small subunit ribosomal RNA", at positions 338 to 795 of the family's 1533-position model. The record is from RNAcentral.
CCUACGGGUGGCAGCAGUGAGGAAUAUUGGUCAAUGGGCGUAAGUCUGAACCAGCCAAGUCGCGUGAAGGAUGACGGCUCUAUGGAUUGUAAACCUCUUUUAUAAGGGAAUAAAGCGAGGCACGUGUCCCGUUUUGCAUGUACUUUAUGAAUAAGGAUCGGCUAACUCCGUGCCAGCAGCCGCGGUAAUACGGAGGAUCCGAGCGUUAUCCGGAUUUAUUGGGUUUAAAGGGAGCGUAGGUGGGUUGUUAAGUCAGUUGUGAAAGUUUGCGGCUCAACCGUAAAAUUGCCGUUGAAACUGGAAGACUUGAGUGUGUUUGAGGCAGGCGGAAUGCGUGGUGUAGCGGUGAAAUGCAUAGAUAUCACGCAGAACCCCGAUUGCGAAGGCAGCUUACUAAGCCAUAACUGACACUGAAGCACGAAAGCGUGGGGAUCAAACAGGAUUAGAUACCCGUGUAGUC